This 737-nucleotide ribosomal RNA is filed under the name uncultured eukaryote. Its description in RNAcentral is "SSU rRNA". It matches the Rfam family "Eukaryotic small subunit ribosomal RNA", at positions 671 to 1426 of the family's 1831-position model. The record is from RNAcentral.
AGUGGCUACUGUUUGGCUGAACACUUUACCGAGUUGUCCUAUGGUGCUCUUCACCGAGUGUCAUAGGCGAUCGGUACGUUUACUUUGAAAAAAUUAGAGUGCUUAAAGCAGGCGUAACGCCCGAAUAAUGUUGCAUGGAAUAAUGGAAUAGGACCUCGGUUCUAUUUUGUUGGUCUUCGGAGCAUGAGGUAAUGAUCAAUAGGGACAGACGAGGACAUUCGUAUUGCGGAGCUAGAGGUGAAAUUCUUGGACCUUCGCAAGACGAACUAAGGCGAAAGCAUUUGUCAAGAAUGUUUUCAUUAAUCAAGAACGAAAGUUAGAGGUUCGAAGGCGAUCAGAUACCGCCCUAGUUCUAACCAUAAACGAUGCCAACCAGUAAUUCGCCUGAGUUCCCUAAAUGACUCGGCGAGGGACUUCCCGGGAAACCAAAGUGUUUCGGUUCCAGGGGAAGUAUGGUUGCAAAGCUGAAAACUUAAAGAAAAUUGACGGAAAGGGCACCCCCCAGGAGUGGAGCCUGCGGCUUAAUUUGACUCACCACGGGAAAACUCACCCGGCCCGGACACUGGAAGGAUUGACAGAUUGAGAGCUCUUUCUUGAUUCAGUGGGUGGUGGUGCAUGGCCGUUCUUAGUUGGUGGAGUGAUUUGUCUGGUUAAUUCCGAUAACGAACGAGACUCUAGCCUACUAAAUAGAUUGUCGGCUUACAAACGUCGACAAGACUUCUUAGAGGGACAGGCGG